AUUGAGCUCUGCCCCUAAAUUUCCCAUAAAAAAAUUAAGCCUCUAAUAAUAUUAUUUCUUGAUAAAAAAAUAUUUGUUAUUGAAUAUUUGUGGGUGUCAACAAUCAUAAGAGCCUUAGAACUUGUUAUGAAGGUUUUGAGAAUUUUGGACUGACAAAAAGUUAUUAUAAAAUGAAAUAAAUAAAUAAAAAUUUACUACAUAAAUACUUUUGUGAUUCUUCCCAACAUAAUCUGAACUAAAUCAUUUUUUUAAUUUUUUCUGUUGGUUUGGAUAUUGCUUUGUGGGAUUUUUGCAAGAGAGUGGUGAUAAAUUUUGCGCCCCAACCCACUCUACCCCUUGGAUGGACAUUCUGGCAACCAGGGAGUAGCCCGUGAUAAACCAUUUCAAAUAUUACACGUUGUUAUGGGUGAUUUAAGCAUUUUUUGUUUAUUUCAACAUUGUGACUCCUAACAAAGUUUGUUAAUAUUGUUUGUAUGGUUGCUUUGGUUUGUUACAUUUGUUUAUGUCUUCUAAUAUUAAAUGGCAUGUUUUUCUUGCUUUGUAAUAUUCCAAAUACUUAACUACCUUUUCUAUGGAGGAAGCUUUCUCAAUAAAUAAAGAAACAAAUAAAGCUGUCCAAUCUAUAAUAGAGUUUGGUAAGUCUCUUAACAUAAUUUAGGUACCAUAAAAUUUUUUUAUUUUAGUAUAUGCGUUUACCUAUUCAAAAUGCAUAUUUUCUCUAUCAAUCCAGCAGUUAACAAAAAGCUUGAUUUUUGACAAAUAGGAUGUAAAGUUGGAGAGAUUAAAUCACAAUGCAUAUCAUAUUAUAAUAAACUUAUUGCUUAAAUGUUCUAAUUUUAACAAUUAAAUAAUUUAAACAAAAUAUAAUGUAUUUUUGUAAUUUAUAAGUUUGGUUAUCGCUAACUAAAUCAAGUUUUGAAUCAGAAAUACCAUCAUUGUUACUUUUAGUCAUUACAAUAUUUUUCAAGAACUAGAAGAUCGAUAUUGUACAUAGCUAAAUUCUCAGAUAUAUGAACAUGAGAAAAUACUUUCAAACAUCAGAUGAAAAAAGAGAAAAAAUUUGAGAUCAUGGCAACUUUGCUCUCAGUAUGUGCAUAUUCCUACACUCUUUUUCACAAAGAAGGUAAAUAAAUGCAAUACCUGUACUUUUAUUUUUUGUUUAUUUAAAACUUCAUGAGUAAAAGACUCAUGUCUGAAUAAUCAAAUCCUAUACAUUUUUUUAUCAAAAUUUGCUCAUGUUAUCCAUCUUCCUAUGUAUUCCUUCCUUUUUGAACCAUCUUACUAGUUUUUCAAAUUUGUCAAGAUGUCGAUCCUAAUGUAGAAAAUGAUGAUCUAACAAAUGAUGAAGGGAUAGAUAGCUUUGUGUUAGAGCUAUCAAAUGCUAUCCAUGGAGUAGAUGAGGUUAUUAAUUUGUUGAAAUGUUGAAAUUUACUUUGUCGUGCUAAUCGUCUUGAAGAAGCUUAUCAAGUAGUGAAGGAGAUACCAUACAAGCCUAAUGUUUGCAAAUCAUGCAAGUUCGUUUUCCUUUUCUUCCCUAUUUUUGGGUGCUUGUGCUUAAGCACUGUAGAAUGUACCUAGGUUGUCUUGUACUUUUGUGUAGUAAGGACCUUGUGCUCGUAGGUUUUUUGCCUUUUAUUUUUGUAGCUCUUUUGAGCAGUAGUGAGCGCGAGGACCUUUUAAGGACUUUGUACUGUUUACCUUUAAUUAACACGUAGGCCCCGCUUUGAAUUUUCUUUA
Molecule: long non-coding RNA, 1737 nt
Organism: Dendrobium catenatum
Lineage: Eukaryota; Viridiplantae; Streptophyta; Magnoliopsida; Asparagales; Orchidaceae
Exons: 2
Source: RefSeq, a predicted model, not a curated record